Molecule: ribosomal RNA, 254 nt
Filed under: uncultured bacterium
Lineage: Bacteria
Description: partial 16S ribosomal RNA
Rfam family: Bacterial small subunit ribosomal RNA
Source: RNAcentral
AAGCAAAGCCGCGAGGUAGAGCAAAUCUCAAAAAAACAAUCUCAGUUCAGACUGCAGGCUGCAACUCGCCUGCACGAAGUCGGAAUUGCUAGUAAUCGUAGGUCAGCAUACUACGGUGAAUACGUUCCCGGGCCUUGUACACACCGCCCGUCAAACCAUGAGAGUUGGCAACACCCGAAGUCGGUAGUCUAACCGCAAGGAGGACGCCGCCGAAGGUGGGGUUGAUGACUGGGGUGAAGUCGUAACAAGGUAUC